RNAcentral lists this ribosomal RNA (253 nucleotides) under uncultured bacterium. RNAcentral describes it as "partial 16S ribosomal RNA". It matches the Rfam family "Bacterial small subunit ribosomal RNA", at positions 524 to 776 of the family's 1533-position model. The record is from RNAcentral.
UACAGAGGGUGCGAGCGUUAAUCGGAAUUACUGGGCGUAAAGCGUGCGUAGGCGGUCAUGUAAGUCGGGUGUGAAAGCCCCGGGCUCAACCUGGGAAUUGCAUUCGAGACUGCAUGGCUUGGGUGCGGAAGAGGGAAGCGGAAUUUCCGGUGUAGCGGUGAAAUGCGUAGAUAUCGGAAGGAACACCAGUGGCGAAAGCGGCUUCCUGGUCCGACACUGACGUUCAGGCACGAAAGCGUGGGGAGCAAACAGG